This is a long non-coding RNA of Chelonia mydas (Green sea turtle), 14435 nucleotides long. RefSeq lists it as uncharacterized. The record is from RefSeq and is a predicted model, not a curated record. The transcript is spliced from 5 exons. Lineage: Eukaryota; Metazoa; Chordata; Testudines; Cheloniidae.
UACUGGCUGCCAACUAGACAUGGACCCAUUGAUCACUACCCAUUGAGCCCGACAAUCUAGCCAAUUUUCUACCCACCUUAUAGUGCAUUCAUCCAGCCCAUACUUCUUUAAUUUGCUGACAAGCCCCGAACUUCCCAGUUUCCAGUCCUUUAACAAAUACCUCCUUUGAAUUCUUUACCAAUCCAUUUAUCUGAUCACUGUAUCCUGUCCACACAGAAGUUUCCGAGCUAUGCCUAAAAUUUGCUCCCCUUCUGUUACUAAAUGCCAGCUUUCCUUCUGUGGGCUGAAGUGUGGGGUGGGGAGCAUUCCUACCCCUUCCCCUGCUGUGCUACCACAUGGCACCAUGAAGAUUGCAGAGCUUGAGUCAUUGCUGUUCUGCCAGGUCCAGGUAAAAGAGGGCUUCUCCUGCUUGGUGUGACCUCUCCUCUCUUCCAGUCACCGGGGGGGGGGGGGGGGGAGGGGGGCGGGAGGGUCAGCAUCCCCACAUUGACCUGUCAUUGCUGCAACCUCACUCCUUGCCUCUCUAUCCUUUAAAGAGGUACACACCUUCCUCCAGCCAGACAACAGUCCGUUCCCCUCCCCUCCCACGCCCCUGAUUAAUGUGUGGUGUGGCCAUUUUUGCCAUGCUGUAGAUUUUUUUGCCAGUGGUUUCUCCAGCAAACCACACAACAGUCCCUCUGUCCCCCCACACUUAAUGUGGGGUGUGGUCAUUUUUUGCCAAGCUACAGAUCUUUUGGCCAGCCAGUUGUGGAUGGUUUACAAGCUUGGCAUACAAGUCAUGUAUGGCAUUCUUUUUGGCUUUCUUCACUGCCUGUUUGGCAGCUCACUUUCCUUCGUUCUAGUCACUUUCAUUUACACUCAGUGUAUUCAUUUGUUUUUUCAUUAGGCUCUGUUUUUUUGUUUUGGGUAACUACCUGCACUUCAGUCUAUCACUACUCUUCUCUUUCCCUCUGUUUUCCCCAUCUGCAUCAGCCACAAAUCUCUUCCGCUGCUGCAAUCCAUGUUCUUUUGAGGUAGUUCCAUUCUUCAGCUAAUACCAACUGUGUUUCCACUACUGAUGUACGUGACCAAAUGACUCAUCUUUUGGAACCAUGGAUUGGCUAUCAUCCAUUGAUUGACAUUACAUAUGGUCUAGUAAUAGUUUCCCUUCCUCAUUCCAUAGUGCCUAGACGGGAAUUUCCAAGCACAUUACCCCUUCUGUUUUUGCUUGUCUCUUCCAUAAUUCAAGUCACCCAACAUCUCCUCUGGCACAGCUCUGUCCACUAGUGCUUGCAAGUCUUAGGGGAAACUCUGCUUCAUUUCAUCUUUCUUGAGGUGCAUACGCUGAUAUCACAAACAGAAUAUGCUCCUUAAUUUGGACCUACACAGCCAUCAGUCGGUCACUUACUCUAAUAAUUUCAAUCAUUGUUCUUUCUCAGCUCUCCUCUCACUACCCUCCUGACUCCAUUACACCUGCUUUUGUUACCAUAGAAGAGUUUACAAUCUAAGUUCCCUCACUGUGUUCCCCAUUCACCGUGUUUUCUGCAGAUAUAGAACAUAAAUACUCUCCUUACGAUCAUAUCAGCUACUUCCAGACCUUUGUCGUCAAAUGGGGUACACUCAGUAUUGCUACUUAUAUGGGAAUUCUUUGGCUGUGCAGGUCGUUGCUAUUCAUCUGACUCUUCAUUCUAAGUGGUAGUCCCCUGACCCUCUACAGGACUGUUCAGACACUGACUGCCAGACAUCCCCAGCUCAGAUGCUGGGGCUGCCAGGCUUAAGGUGCGUGAACUUCUGGCAUAGGGCUAAGAUGCCCUCUCACCAUUAGCAUUAGCCCUUGCUAAUAUCUACUACUGCCCUUUGGUAACUCACCAAAAAGAAAAACAUUGUUUGCACCAAUGUAGUCACCUUGUGCCAGAAACUAUAGUGUAUUAAUUGGUGUCCCUGACAUAUACCACAGUGAGAGGGCCUUUCCCCAGUUGAAUGCCCAAACUCUCCCCAUCUUAUUGCUAUAGACCAGAUGGAUGAAUAAGAGGUGGUACUGCUUUUCCUGCUGCCCAAACUAGGCUUUAUUUAACCCACAGAUGAGGGUUUCAGAUCAGUUUUCCUUCUCCAGAUUGAGCAGCCCUACCUGUCCUGGGAGAUUUGAUAAUUCAGCAAAAGGUUCAUUUUUGUCCUAGCAUGAUUUCAUGCACCUAAAAACAAUGUCCACUGUUGACUGACAUGCAGUUUUCUAACUUCAUUAUUUCAGACGGUCCUCAUGCCUUUAACUACAGUGAACUUUCACUGUAUUAGACAGAAGGCCUCACAGUCAGAUACUAGCUUUUAAUUUAAGAACUGUCAAAUUUCAUACGUGAGAGCCACACUCAAUCCAGAAUUAUAGUACAAUAACUCCUCACUUAAUGUCCUAUUGCUUAACUUUGUUUCCAUCUUACAUCCCUGCUCCAUUACAGAACAUGCUCACUUAAAGUUGUGCAGUGCUCCCCUAUAACAUCCUUUGGCCGCCUGCUUUGUCCACGGCUGGCAGCCCCCCGCGCAGCGCUUCCCGCCCGCCGGCAGACCUCGCGGAUCAGUGCCCGCCUCCUGCCUGCAGCAAUCAGCUGUCUUGCGGCGUUCAGGAGGCUGGGGGGAGGAGCGAGGACAUGGUGCGCAGCCUCCCCCCCGCCUCCUGAACGCCGCAAGACAGCUGAUUGCUGCAGGCAGGAGGUGGUGGGAUGGCGCUGAUUCACAGGGUCUGCCGGCAGGCCAGAAGCGCUGAGGGGGUCGGAGGGCGCGUAGGGGAGUUGAUAGUUAUGCUGCCAGCCUGUUUAAUACCUGUAUUAAAUUGCUUGUUUAAAAUUGUUUUUAAAAUGUACACAGGCUACCUGUGUUAAACUGCUUGUUUAAAAUGUAUAUAAUGCCUUUUGUCUGACAAAAAAAAUUUCCCUGGAACCUAACCCCCCUCUAUUUACAUUAAUUCUUAUGGGGAAAUUGGAGUCGCUUAACAUAGUUUCGCUUAAAGUCACAUUUUUCAGGAACAUAACUACGUUAAGUGAGGAGUUACUGUAUUGUGAUUAAUUCCAUUAAAGAAGGUACUCACCUUGUGCAGUAACAUUGGUUCCUUGAGAUGUGUCCUCCUGUGGAUGCUCCACUGUAGGUUGUCAAGUAGCAGCCGUGUUAGUCUGUAUCCGCAAAAAGAAAAGGAGUACUUGUGGCACCUUAGAGACUGACAAAUUUAUUUGAGAAUAAGCUUUCGUGAGCUACAGCUCACUUCAUCGGAUGAAGUGAGCUGUAGCUCACGAAAGCUUAUGCUCAAAUAAAGUUGUUAGUCUCUAAGGUGCCACAAGUACUCCUUUUCUUUUUGUAGGUUGUCUGUCCCUGCGCUGCUGAUCAGAGAGCUUUGGUAGUAGUCUGUCCCACCCGCACAUGCGUUGCUCCCAGCCUGCCACUAGGCUAGCCAGCAUGCUUGAGCAAUCUCUCCUCAGUUACUUCUCUACCGCACAGUCAACUACGAGGACUCCAAAAUAGAGGGGAGGAGGAUGGGUCAUGGAGCUCCCAUCAGGGCACACAUCUUGAAGAACCAUUGUUAUUGCACAAGGUAACUUCUUCGAGAGGUGUCCCUAUGGGUGGCUCUACUGUAGGUGAUUCCUGAGCAGUGCCCACCACUGGAGACUGUGACUUCGGAGUCAAGUCUGAUAUCGAUGAUAGUACUGUGGCACCAAAUUUGGAGUCUGAAGCCAAAUCCCCAGGAUGCCAUAGUGUUCUGUAAAGGUGUGUGCAGAUGCCCAGGUAACUGCUCUUCAGAUUUCUGAUAUAGGGAUACCCUGGGCGAAGGAUGAGGAGACCAACCUUGUAGAAUGCAUGUGUAUUGAAGACGGGGGGGGGGGGUUACAUUAUGCAAUUGGUAACAGAAUUUAAUACAGUCCAAGACGCACUGAGAGUGUCAGUGAGAUGAAAUCACUGUGCCUUUUGACCUAUCUGCAAUGGAGAGGAGAAUUUUCUGAAGGCUCUUUUUAUCCUGAUGAGGUCUGGGAUAAAAGGCUGGAAGCUAAAUAAGCUAAUUUAUGUGAAAAUGCAGAAGUCAUGUUGGGAGUGAAUUUCAGAUGUGGUCUAAGCAUGACCUUGUCAGGGAAGAACCCAGUGAAAGGGGAAUGUGCCAUUGGAACUGCUAUUUCCCCAAUCCUUCUUGCAGAGGUGAUGACAAUGAGAAUCAUCAUCUUCAUGGUAAGGUGAGUUAAUGAACAAGUGGCCAUGGGUUCAAAUGGUGGCCUAGUCAGACCUUUUAAUAGUAGGCUGCAAUCCUGUUGAGGCAUGGGAAGUCUGGGUUGUGGGAAGAAGUUUGCUAUGCAUUUGAUAAACCUCUUCAUAGUCAGAUGGGAGAAGAUUGAAUAUCCUUCUGUCUGCGGAGGGAAGGUUGCAAUUGCUGCUAUGUGAACCAAUAGAGAGUCUUGAUUUCUUGAGACUCAAAAGGUAGUCCAGGAUCACUGGUAGGGUGGAUGUAUUAGGCAUGACACUUUUGGGAUCUGGAAUCUCUUUCAUUUUUGUAGAUAGGUAUGGCAAGUAGCUCCUUUCCUACUGUGCAAUAACACGUCCUAUACCUCCUCAGAGCAAGAUGUCUCUACAUGCUGAAACCAUGAAGGAGCCAGACUUCGAGACACAGAAUCCACAGGUUGGGAUGGAGAGUGUGUGUCUCUUUCAGCGACAGAAGAUAAGGAGUGAUUGGAAGAGUCAUCAGUGGACAUAAUGCCAGCUGUGACAGGUAAGGGUACCACGUCUGUCUGGGCCAAGUGGGAGAAAUCAGUAUGUUUGCGCUCUCUUCACUUUCAACAGGACUUUCAAUAUUAGAUGUAAUGGGGGAAAAGCGUAAAGAAGGCCUUUGUCCCAUAGAUGGAGGAGGGCAUCUUCCAUGGAAUGUUGUCCGAUCCCCACUCUAGAGCAGUACUGUGGACACUGCUUGUUCUGGUAAGUAGUGAAUAGGUCUAUUACCGGUAUCCCGCACUGUCAGAAUAUAUUGUGGAGUACCACCGAAUCUCUCUCCCAUUUGUGGUCAUGUGGGAAUUUGGGGCUGAGACUGUCUGCCAUCAUGUUGUGUAUUCCUGAUAAGUAGGCAGCUGAUAUUAAGAUACUAUGGGAGAUGCAUCAGUUCCAUAGUUUUAGUGUUCUACAGACAGGGAAUGAGCCCUGGUGCCUCCCUGACGGUUUGUGUAAUACAUGCAGGCCAUAUUAUCCAUCAUGACCCUUUUGUGCAUGUCUUUGAUCAGCAGGAGGAAGCAAGUCCACAUGUUGAUGUGGAGGCAUCUCUCACCUGGAGUCCAUUUGUCCUGUAUUGUGCGACCAUUGAGAUGCGUGCAGUUAGGAGUAGAGAUGGGGAAGACUGAACAAACAGGAUUCCCGUACAGACGUUUACUGGGAUUGCUUGACCCUGACCCAGAUUCUGAAACAGGUCUAGCGUGGUCUCAGUGACUUGCUGGGACUCUGCAAAGGACCAUACCCUGAGAAGGCUGUCCAGGUAAUGAUAAAUCAUGAUGCCUUGAGAGCAUAAAUGGGCCGCCACUACCAAAAGGACCUUGAAGAAUACUCUUGGGGCCAAUGAAAGGCCGAAAGGGAGUACUCUGUAUUGGUAGUGGUCUUGACCUAACAUGAACCUGAGGUAAUGUCUGUGGCUCGAUAUGAUCAAGAUGUGAAAAUAAAUAUCUUGGAGGUUAAGGGCCGAGAACCAGUCUCCUUUUUCUAACGAUAACAAAUGAUAAUAACAUGACCAUCUUGAAUUUCUGAGCCUUGAUAAACUUUUUGAGCGCUCUGAGGUCCAGUAUGGGUCUCCAGGAAGUAACAAAAUUAGAAGCCUCUGCCCCUUACAUGUGUGGAUACUCGCACUAUGGCUUCUACACUGAGGAGAUGGUUUAUCUCCUGACAUAGAAAGCUCUUAUGAGAAGGGCCCCUGAGAAAGGAUGGGGAGCGGUUUUUGGGAGGGGGAGAGGGAGGAGAAAUGGGUGGAGUAGCCAUCUCAGAUGAUCUCCAACACCCACUUGUUGGAGGUUAUCCAUUCCCAGAUUCUGUGGAACGGGGCAAGAUGAUCUCCGAAGGGAUGGGUGUUUUCCACUGUGAAAUGAGGGGAGAGUUCUAUGGGCACCUCGAUCAGCCUGUCAAAACUAUUUCUUCAAGGUGGAGGGCUGAGAGGAAGUUUGCUGAGAUCCCAACAUCUUUCAUCUGGAGAACCUGGGCUUCUUCCUUUGAGGUUCAUGCGAUCUUUGUGUAUAUUGUGACUACUGAGAUGAGUAUUGUACCUUCUUUUGUAUCCAGGUGUAUAAAUCCCAAGGGAUUGAAGAAUGGCCCUCAAAUCUUUUAACAUGUGGAGGGAGGCAUCUGUCUUUUCAGCAAAUAAUUUUGUCCCCUAAAAAGGGAAGUCCUCUACCGUCGUUUGGACCUCCUUGGGGAAGUCAAAGAGAUGAAGCCAUGAGGCCCGUCUCAUCACAAUGCAGACAAAAUAGAACGUGCCACCAUCAAAUGCAUACUGGAGCGACACUUUGUCACCAGCUGGCCCUCGUUAACCAAGGCCUUAAAUUGGUCCUUGUGAGAAUGGGGGAGCUUUUCAAUAUUUCAAUAAAAUAACUACAUUUCACAUAGUUCUGAGUCAUAUUUAGCCCAGAAGGCUUGAUAGUUCACCACUCUGAAUUGAAGGGUGGCUGAGGCGUGGGCCUUAUUGCAAAACAGGUCCAGGUGCUCCCAGUCCUGGUAUAAGGGGUGGACUUAAAGUGGUUUUGGCAGCCUUUAGAGUUAACUGCAUCCACAAUGAUCAAAUUGGGAGGCAAGUGUGAGAACAGGAAUUCUGUGUCCUUUGCUGGCACAUAUUUCUUGUCCACCCUCUUACAAGUUGGUGGGAUGGAUGCAGAGGCCUGCCAUAUCACCUUGGCAGAAUCCAGUAGAGCCUCAUUAAUAGGGAAGGAGCACUCUGGAGGAAGUGGAGGAAUGCAGAAUGUCCACCAGCUAGUGGCGCAACUCAGACACCUCUUGUAAAGGCCUCUGUCACCCUCUGUGCCAAGUCCUGGAACAGCUUACAGUCAUCUGCCAUAGAUGGCGAAGGGGACAUCACAGUCUCAUCUGGUGAUAAUGAUGAGAAGUGGGCUGGAGGAGUAACUUCCUCUUCGACUUUGGCCUCCAGUUCCUCCCUUGCCUGCUCGGGGAGUUCAGAGGCCCUUGAAGCAGCAGCUGAAGGAGGGUACUUCCUCAGCUGUUGGUAUGCCGUACUAUCAGUGAUGGAGGCCUGUUGCCUUUGGGCCUGCCGGGGUCCCAGUAUGGCCACUGUGAUAGGAAGGGGCGCAGUGGUUGGUACCACAGUUGCCUAUACUAGGGAUGUUGUGGGUCAGAAGGCUGGUAUGCCACCGGGUGAAACUGGUCCAUAGUGAAACUGGGCUCUGUAUGGCGGGUGAGAAGGAAUUGAGGAGACACUGCCCACGCAUGCUGGCUAGCCUUGUGGCAGGAGGGGAGCAGCGCAUGCGUGGGUGAAACUGACUGCUACCAAAGUUCUCCGAUCAGCAGCACAGGAACACAAGCACGCCGACAGAGGAGCACCCACAGGGACACUACUCGAAGAUGCAGCACCAUUAUUUGGAUGGCCUCUUGCCCCUCUAGGCAGAUCUACCUCCAUAAUUAGAGUUCUAAAUCAUCAAUAUCCAUAACAGAAUGUUUGGAUUUUCCACCCUAUUAGUACUAUGGAACUUUCUCCUCCCCUUUUAAUGUUGAUGCCUGUAAUUAAUCACUUUAAUGCUGUGGAGAUCAUAAGAAAGUGUGUACUUAUUACUAUUUGUUAAUAAGCGAACAAUUGUUGCUUGAUGUUCAGAAGCCUUUUUUUACAAAUUAUUAAUCCAAUUACAUCCUUUCUGACUCUUAUUUUUGCUGGCAGUUAUAAGGUGACAAUUUAAUUUUCAUCGGUCUAUAGUAUUCAGAAAUAAAGACUGAGCAACAAAAAACUACACUUACAGUCUUUUCUAGCACAGCACGAGAAGGAAAAUCAGUUUCUAAAACUUCUUUCAAAUUUUGUAAUAGGGUGAUAUCUGGAUCCCUGCAAGUAGAGGAAAGAGACUUUAACACAUGGAACUGCAAAAUGCAGAUUUUAAACUAAAAUUGUAUUCGUGAAAACACUUACCACAAGUGCAUGUUGUUGUUCAGCUUUGUUCUCAAAGGAUUUACCACUACAAAGUUACACAUAGAUAUUUACAUUACUCACAGGAAGAGACUUCCCCCGCAUUUCAGCACUUACAACUAGAUUUUUUAAAGGUAUUUAGACACCUAAAUAUGCAGGGGUGCCAAUGCAUUUGAAAUCCCACUAGGCAUCUUAAUACAUUUACAAAUCUGGCCCGCAGUCAUCAUAUUUGAAAAGUCAUAUAUAAUGAUAAUAGCACUAAGUUUUGGGACAUUGUACACCAAAGGUAUGAUUGCCCCUCGAGACAUGGCCAGGAGCUAUAGAAAAUCGAGGGAAAGACAUUAGGGAAUUUACAGUGGAUUAUUUAUAAAAAACAAAAAAAAACAGGCAAAAUAAUCAUAGAUGUGGUCAGAUAAUUAUCUUUCAGAAUAAUUCUCUGCAGGACACAGGGCAUCUCCUGAAUUGUGAUUCUGCUGGAAAAGGACUAAAAAAAUAUUGUAGGGUUCCACCUUUCUCUCAGUAACUUGCAAAAUACAUUUACUCAAUCAGCACUUAAAAGAAUUAAGUGUUUUGUGUUUUUGUUAUCCUUGCAAACUCAGCGUGGUAUCAGACAGUCAAGCUGGGGGAAAAACAGCUUGUGUAUCAUCCCCAUAUAUAAUGUGGGAAAAGUCAGGACAGGAUGUGACCCUGUAUCUAGAAUGUAGUUAACAAUUCUAUUGACUGUGUAGUAGCUAAAACUCAAUCUAGCUACUCUCCUACAGCUGAAUGACUUCUACAGUGCCUACAGGAGAAAAAUAAGUUGUCAAUAGUUAGUCACUUUUCUCAUAACUGUAUUUUUAAAGGUUUCAGAGUAGCAGCCGUGUUAGUCUGUAUUCACAAAAAGAAAAGGAGUACUUGUGGCACCUUAGAGACUAACCAAUUUAUUUGAGCAUAAGCUUUCAUGAGCUACAUCCGAUGAAGUGAUCUGUAGAUCAUGAAAGCUUACGCUCAAAUAAAUUGGUUAGUCUCUAAGGUGCCACAAGUACUCCUUUUCUUUUUGUAUUUUUAAAGUAUUCUUCAAUUUGUGAUAUCUUAAUUUGCCAGACUUUAACACAUUAACAGUGCACAACAGCAUGCCGUGAAUUCACUCUUGUAUUGUUUUGUGUAAGUAUAUGCAAGAGAUACUGACAUUUUAAAGGUUUCAGAGUAGCAGCCGUGUUAGUCUGUAUCCGCAAAAAGAAAAGGAGAAGUACUCCUUUUCUUUUUUGACAUUUUAAACUUUACUUAAAUACAAGACAGAGCCUGAAACCACUAAAUUAAGUUUACCUUAAAAGCCUGUAAGCAGUUACUGGUACAAGUCGAAACAGACCCAGCUUCUAAGAUUGAGAAAUGAGUUUGUAUAUGAAAUUUCGUAUAUGAAAGACCUUACCGUGGUCUGCUCCAAGAAAGUAACACUCAGGAAGCAUAGUUGGGUGCCUGGGAUCUACCUCUAAGUUUAUGGAAACAUUGUUUCCUGAAAUGAGAGAGAAUGCAUUUUAAAUGGAAGGUGUAAAGCUUUCCUUUAUAACCGCAAAUAGAGAAAGUACUUAUGUUUUUCAAAUGAGUUGUUUUGAGCACACCUAUAGUUUUAUGAACAUUGUUACAGCUUUUAGAUGGCUAAAGUAAGCUAUUUGGCUUAGAAUUCUGAACUGAUGGUGUUCACGACUACAAAUUUUAGUUCAGUAUAAACAAGUUUUAUCUAGGCAGUGAGUUAAAGUCCUGUGAUAAACCAUAAGUGGGGAGGGUGCCAGAGUCCCAGCUCCAGCCAGAGCCCAAACAUUUACACUGCAGUUUUAUAGCCCUGAAGCCCAAGCCAGUUGACACAGGCCAGCUGCAGGUGUUUUACUGCAGCAUAGACAUACUCUCAGGAAUCAGGAAAAGGCAGGGGAGAGGGCCCAACUGGACUGGAAGGGAGAGGAGCUGGCUACACAAAAGGAGACUCACUGCAGUCUCUGGGCUGUCAAGUAGGGGAAAGAGUGACCUAUCAUUUCAGCCAUCAGCUCAACAGUUGUUUGCAUAAAGCUGCAGUCUCAGAGUGGGUACUGCCUACUUCUGUUGUUUCCCUAUUUUGCAGCUAGUUAAUAUUCCUCCAACUUUCAGGAACUUAAAUUUGUUUUAUUUUUGUUCUAUCAUGUACCAUCAGACUUCUGGCGCUUGUGACUGAAGUUGAGCAACAUCGCAGUAUAUAAUUAUAAAAUGCUAAGCUAAAAAUCGGAGUCCUCAUUCCGAAGAUACAUUUUUUUCUCUAUUUUUGACUGCAGACAGUGGAAAGUGCCUACUUUUCAAAUAACUAAGGUGACUCCCAAGCAGUACUAACAGAGGUAGGUCGGAGUUCAUGGAAGUGUCGAUAGCAACACAACUCUGCCGAAGCCAGCAUCAUUUCUGGCCUGCUGACUGAUGGCAUGAUGAGACGUGAACCUGUGCACAGAGGACGACGUUGCAGCCCUGCAUAUGUCCUGGAUAGGGACUUGUGCCAGGAAAGCAGCCAAAGAAGCUUGCACCCUUCUUGAAUGAGCCUUUGCUAUUGGAGGGGGCGCUAUCUCGUACAUGGUGAUCCAGAUUGAAAUCCUCUGUGAGGACACCAGACCCUUAAUCCUGUCGGCUAUCACAAUACAGAGCUGAGUCAAUCUACGGAAGGGGUUGGUGCGCUCUAAGUAGAAAGCCAGUGCAAUGCCUGACAUCUAGAGUAUGCAGACACCUCUCCUCGCUGGUCGAGUGAGCCUUUGGACAGAACACCAGAAGAAAAAUAUCCUAGUUGACAUGGAAGUGCGAUACCACUAUUGGCAGAAAGGUUGGGUGGGGCUGCAGCUGAACCUUGUCCUCGUAGAACAUGGUGUAAGGGGGCUCCGAAGUAAGAGCUCUAAACUCAGAUGCUCGUCUCACUGAGAUAAUAGCUACAAGGAAUGUGACCUUCCACAACAAGAAGCCAAAUGCUCGGAGGGCAGGCCCAUGAGCCUGGAGAGGACCAGGUUGAGGUCCCAUUGGGAGAUGGGGUCCCAGUCCCGGACCACCUGAAAGAAUCUUUCAGGGCCUUUCAGGAACCUAAUAGUCAUGUCACGUGAGAAUAUUGAUCUACCCUCGAGACGAGGGUGAAAGGCUGAUACAGCCACCAGAUAAACCUUGAUCUAAGAGAAGGUGAGGCCCUGGUGCUUUAAGUGAAGCAGGUAAUCCAGAAUGGACGGCAGAGAUGACUGGUUUGCAGAGAUACCCUGCUCCAGCAGGAUAAAUGCUUCCACUUUGCCAGGUAAGUUGCUCUGGUGGAGGGCUUCCUGGUCUCCAAGAGAACUUGCUGUUCCUGACUAGAGCAGGCUUGCUCCUCUGGAUUCAACCAUGCAGCAUCCAUGCUGUGAGGUGGAGUGAGAUUUGGUUUGGGUGCAGCAGCUGACCGUGAUCCUGCGAGAGCAGGUCUGGGUGGCUGGGAAGCACCCACGGGGCUGCUACAGCCAGGUCCAUGAGCAUGCCAAACCAGUGCUGGCGAGGCCAUGCUGGGGCAAAUCAAUGUCCUGUGCCUUGUCCCUCUUAUUUUUAAGAGAACUUUUUUAAUGAGUGGGAUUGGCAGCAAGGUGUACAUAAGGUCUCCUGACCAAGGCAGGAGAAAGGCGUCAGAAAGAGCCUCUGCUGAGGCCUUGCAGGGAGCAGAACUGAUGACACUUUCUAUUCUGUCUGGUGGUGGACAGGUCUACUCGAGGAGCUCCCCACUUCUGGAAGAGCAUCCUGAUAACCUCCCAGUGGCGGGACCACUCGUGAUGAGAGAAGGACCUGCUGAGGCGAUCUGCCAGUGUGUUCUGGAUGCUGGGGAGGUGCAAGGCUUCCAGGCUCAGAGCUUGACAGGUAGCUUACAAUGUCUCGAUGCUGCACUGGACCUGGACUCUGGAGCGCCCUUUAUGAGCCAGUUGUCGAGGUAUGGGUAGAUCUCGAUAACCUGAUAUCUGAGACCUCUGUUGGGGAUCUGUACUGGGAUGAUGGCUCUUGGUGCUGUAACUCUGGUGACCGGCGGCAGCGUUCAGCGGAUCAGCGAUGGUACCCCGGCGUUCGAUGCCUUACGCUUUGAGAAAGGUGUCACUCUGUAGACCGGGACUGACAUCUUGGAAACUUUUGAUGUGCCAACGGUGAUCAAUACCAGUGAUGCAAAGACCGGUGAUGGGGCUCCAGGAACCGGUGUCUUGAUCCUCCGGAGUGGUGCCGUGGAAUGGGAGACCGACUUGGACGCUUCCAGCUCAGGGGACUGGUGAUGCGUCUCUGCAGGUCUGCACCCAACCGCCGGCAAUCAAUGCCAGGACCCCGAGAAACACUGCCUAGAGUCCAGGGACUGAUGCUGGAACUCUGGCAGGUAAGCUGACCCGCAUCUGGAGGCUGACAGUGCUGUUCAGGUGAGAGCUGGCAGGGCAUCCCCUAUGACAGGAAGCGGUGCCACGCUGAUGGAGACCGCUGGAAAGAUCCCAGGGCAGGUUUACCACUCGAAUGGGGCACCUCACUGGCUAGCAUGGGUGGCACCAAAACGGACAAUAUGUCCUUAAUGGCUUGAAAGUCCUCUGGUGUGGACAGCGCCGCCAGGUGCCGAGUGCCUCUGCCGCUUCCUAGGGUGGCGGGUGGGUCUUGAAGCAAGCUCGACAGCUCAACAGGAGCUGGAGCCUGGCCACCAUCCAGAGCAGAAGAGCUGCCCCGCGCAGAUCUUGGCUCUCCUCCGGCUCUCUCCUUCCCUUUACGAGAUGUAGAAGAAUGCCUUUUCCCAGCCUCUCUCUGCUUUUUAGCUAGUACCGGGUAUGACAGGCUCUCCCCGGGGUGCCACUUGGAACUGGGAUACCACUGAGCCAGCCUGACCCACCAGCCUGGGCUCCUUUUCACAUUGUGGUGCUGUGAUAAGUUGCCAAGCUUGCUCUUUCAUCUGCAUACACACAGAUAGGGACUCACCCAGCUGCAGCUUCACACAGAUGCUGAGAUCAGCUCUGCUCAGCUAAGGCAUCUCCCAGUUGCUAAACCCUGCACCCCCUCUGGAGUGUAAACCCAAAAUUAUAUCAUCUUGCACUGCACAGGGAACUGUACAGAGUAAACUCAUAAAUUUCACCCCCUCCCUUUCUGCCCCAAGUUAUAAUUUCCACACACUGGUUUUAGACAAAACAAAAAACAACUACAAAAGGAUAGAUUUUAAGUGACAGCAAACAGAUCAAAGCAGAUUACUUUAGUAAAUAAACAAAACCGCAAACUGAGCUUAACACACUAGAUAGGUAGGAUAUGAAUUAGCAAAUUCUCACCCUGCGUGAUAAGCAGGCUGGCAGAUUCUUAAGGCACAAGUAACCUCGGCUUUCCCAGGUUUUCAUACACAGGCUAACAAUUCCUCUAGGCUGGAACCAUCACUAUCCACAGUUCAGUCCUUCCCCCUCAGGUGUUUCCAGAUGUGUUGUUGUAGGGAGAGUGAGGUACCAUUGUCCCCCUUUUUAUAUCCUCUUCCCACUUGCUGGAAAGCUCUUUUGCUGUGACCUGGGGUCAAACAGUUCCCAUUGUGUAGUGCGAUCUCUGAGAGGUUUCCAUUGUACACAGUUCCUGGGGUAUUCCUUGUGCUUGUGUGCAUUCCCUCAAUAAACCAUUAACAUUGUUAUACAUAUGCUUGUGGGUGUUUUCAACCUUGCGUUUCAGUAACACAUUCAUAGCCAAACUUCAUAACUUCACAUAUGACGGCAGCACAUACAGUCCAACAAGUUAUUAAUGUCUAAAGACUUACAGAAUGAUACCUCACAAGGCAUACCUUGUACAAAACAUAUCCUAAUUACACCCCUGGCACCCUAAUAUUCACCACUGUUAUGUCACAACAGGGAUGGGAAUCAGCGCCGGUCGGAGGUCAUUGCCAGAGGCACGCUACGCACUGAGGCCGCAGUACUUGGAGCAGAGUCCGAUCUCGUCAGCUCUAAGGCCGGUGCAAGGACACACUACAUAAGGAGUGCUUGGAGAUGAAUGUCCCGCUCCUUUUUGGUCCGCGACUGAAAGCUCUUGCAAAUGCGACAUUUGUCACUAACAUUUGUCACUUGUUUCCCCUAAACACUUCAGGCUGCUUCUGUGUGGAUCACUGACUGGCACAGGUUUCUUGCAGCAGUCACAAGGUUUGAAGCUUGGAGACCAGAGCAUGCCCUAUCCCUAGGCUAAGUCCCGUAUGGGACUAACUAAUUAUUUUUAACUGAACACAAAGGGAACUAUACACUGUAGAACUUUUAACAACUAUAUACAACAAAUUCGCUACUAGGCACAGUUGAGAUAGGAAAGCUUGCCAAGGGAAGGAGAUGUUCCAACAUUGUCACUGGCGGUAAAAAGGAACCGGGGGGGUGGGGGG